This 468-nucleotide ribosomal RNA is filed under the name uncultured bacterium. RNAcentral's name for it is "partial 16S ribosomal RNA". It matches the Rfam family "Bacterial small subunit ribosomal RNA", at positions 28 to 507 of the family's 1533-position model. The record is from RNAcentral.
GACGAACGCUGGCGGCGUGCUUAACACAUGCAAGUCGAACGGAAAGGCCCUGCUUUUGUGGGGUGCUCGAGUGGCGAACGGGUGAGUAACACGUGAGUAACCUGCCCUUGACUUUGGGAUAACUUCAGGAAACUGGGGCUAAUACCGGAUAGGAGCUCCUGCUGCAUGGUGGGGGUUGGAAAGUUUCGGCGGUUGGGGUUGGACUCGCGGCUUAUCAGCUUGUUGGUGGGGUAGUGGCUUACCAAGGCUUUGACGGGUAGCCGGCCUGAGAGGGUGACCGGCCACAUUGGGACUGGGGUACGGCCAAGACUCCUACGGGAGGCAGCAGUGGAGAAUAUUGCACAAUGGGCGGAAGCCUGAUGCAGCAACGCCGCGUGCGGGAUGACGGCCUUCGGGUUGUAAACCGCUUUCGCCUGUGACGAAGCGUGAGUGACGGUAAUGGGUAAAGAAGCACCGGCUAACUACGUG